This 71-nucleotide transfer RNA is filed under the name Actinomycetes bacterium. RNAcentral describes it as "Actinobacteria bacterium tRNA-Gln". It matches the Rfam family "tRNA". From Rfam's summary of the family: Transfer RNA (tRNA) molecules are approximately 80 nucleotides in length. Their secondary structure includes four short double-helical elements and three loops (D, anti-codon, and T loops). The record is from RNAcentral. RNAcentral also lists the same sequence under 2 other names. Lineage: Bacteria; Bacillati; Actinomycetota; Actinomycetes.
UCGGGGGUCGUCCAAUGGCAGGACAACGGCCUUUGGAGCCGUGAAUCUCCGUUCGACCCGGAGCCCCCGAA